Molecule: ribosomal RNA, 253 nt
Filed under: uncultured bacterium
Lineage: Bacteria
Description: partial 16S ribosomal RNA
Rfam family: Bacterial small subunit ribosomal RNA
Source: RNAcentral
UACGUAGGGUCCGAGCGUUGUCCGGAAUUAUUGGGCGUAAAGGGCUCGUAGGCGGUUUGUCGCGUCGGGAGUGAAAACGCCGUGCUUAACACGGCGCUUGCUUUCGAUACGGGCAGACUAGAGGUAUGCAGGGGAGAACGGAAUUCCUGGUGUAGCGGUGAAAUGCGCAGAUAUCAGGAGGAACACCGGUGGCGAAGGCGGUUCUCUGGGCAUUACCUGACGCUGAGGAGCGAAAGUGUGGGGAGCGAACAGG